UGGGAAGGCAUAGACAGCUAGGAGGUUGGCUUAGAAGCAGCCACCCUUUAAAGAAAGCGUAAUAGCUCACUAGUCGAGUCGGCCUGCGCGGAAGAUGUAACGGGGCUAAAACUAUGUGCCGAAGCUGCGGAUGUAUACUUUGUAUACGUGGUAGGGGAGCGUUCUGUAAGCCGAUGAAGGUGUGUUGAGAAGCAUGCUGGAGGUAUCAGAAGUGCGAAUGCUGACGUGAGUAACGACAAAACGGGUGAAAAACCCGUUCGCCGAAAGACCAAGGGUUCCAGUCCAACGUUAAUCGGGGCUGGGUGAGUCGACCCCUAAGGCGAGGCCGAAAGGCGUAGUCGAUGGGAAAAUGGUUAAUAUUCCAUUACUUCUGUGUAAUGCGAUGAGAGGACGGAGAAGGCUAAAUCAGCCUGGCGUUGGUUGUCCAGGUGAAAGGAUGUAGGCAUGUAUCUUAGGCAAAUCCGGGGUACUCUAUGCUGAGAUCUGAUAGCAAGCUGUACUUGUACAGCGAAGUGGUUGAUGCCAUGCUUCCAGGAAAAGUCUCUAAGCUUCAGUUACACAGGAAUCGUACCCGAAACCGACACAGGUGGUCAGGUCGAGUAGACCAAGGCGCUUGAGAGAACUCUGCUGAAGGAACUAGGCAAAAUGGUACCGUAACUUCGGGAGAAGGUACGCUGUUGUUGGUGAUGGAACUUGCUUCCUGAGCUGACGACAGCCGCAGAAACCAGGCCGCUGCAACUGUUUAUUAAAAACAUAGCACUCUGCAAACACGAAAGUGGACGUAUAGGGUGUGAUGCCUGCCCGGUGCUGGAAGGUUAAUUGAUGGGGUUAGCGUAAGCGAAGCUCUUGAUCGAAGCCCCAGUAAACGGCGGCCGUAACUAUAACGGUCCUAAGGUAGCGAAAUUCCUUGUCGGGUAAGUUCCGACCUGCACGAAUGGCAUAAUGAUGGCGGCGCUGUCUCCAGCAGAGGCUCAGUGAAAUCGAAAUCGCUGUGAAGAUGCAGUGUACCCGCGGCUAGACGGAAAGACCCCGUGAACCUUUACUGCAGCUUGACACUGAACUUUGACCUUACUUGUGUAGGAUAGGUGGGAGGCUUUGAAGCUGGAACGCUAGUUCCAGUGGAGCCGUCCUUGAAAUACCACCCUGGUAAUGUUGAGGUUCUAACUCUGUCCCGUGAUCCGGGACGAGGACCGUGUCUGGUGGGUAGUUUGACUGGGGCGGUCUCCUCCUAAAGAGUAACGGAGGAGUACGAAGGUGCGCUCAGCGUGGUCGGAAAUCACGCGUAGAGUAUAAAGGCAAAAGCGCGCUUAACUGCGAGACCCACAAGUCGAGCAGGUACGAAAGUAGGUCUUAGUGAUCCGGUGGUUCUGUAUGGAAGGGCCAUCGCUCAACGGAUAAAAGGUACUCUGGGGAUAACAGGCUGAUACCGCCCAAGAGUUCAUAUCGACGGCGGUGUUUGGCACCUCGAUGUCGGCUCAUCUCAUCCUGGGGCUGAAGCAGGUCCCAAGGGUAUGGCUGUUCGCCAUUUAAAGAGGUACGCGAGCUGGGUUUAGAACGUCGUGAGACAGUUCGGUCCCUAUCUACCGUGGGCGCUGGAAAUUUGAGAGGAUCUGCUCCUAGUACGAGAGGACCAGAGUGGACGAACCUCUGGUGUACCGGUUGUGACGCCAGUCGCAUCGCCGGGUAGCUAUGUUCGGAAGGGAUAACCGCUGAAAGCAUCUAAGCGGGAAGCCUACCUCAAGAUAAGAUUUCCCUAGGACUUUAUGUCCUCUAAAGAGCCGUUCGAGACUAGGACGUUGAUAGGUUGGAUGUGGAAGCAUAGUGAUAUGUGAAGCUGACCAAUACUAAUUGCUCGUGAGGCUUGACUAU
This 1869-nucleotide ribosomal RNA is filed under the name Acinetobacter baumannii. RNAcentral describes it as "partial 23S ribosomal RNA". It matches the Rfam family "Bacterial large subunit ribosomal RNA", at positions 1076 to 2925 of the family's 2925-position model. Lineage: Bacteria; Pseudomonadati; Pseudomonadota; Gammaproteobacteria; Moraxellales; Moraxellaceae. The record is from RNAcentral.